Molecule: long non-coding RNA, 819 nt
Filed under: Equus caballus (horse)
Lineage: Eukaryota; Metazoa; Chordata; Mammalia; Perissodactyla; Equidae
Description: lncRNA (ENSECAG00000038041.3)
Source: RNAcentral
GGGCAAGAUGGCUGCGCCCACUGGCUUUGCUGAGGGGAAGGGGCUGUUACUCACACACGCUGGUCUGGGUUCAGAUCAGUUCUGUUCUCUGGUCUCCCGAGGCCCUUGGUUUAUGGGGUCCCCACGGAUGGAAGCUUUCCCCCCCUCAGCGGGUUUCCACUGAACCAGCAGCAGGAGUCCUGGAUGAUCCCCGGUUGUGCGGCCCCUCCCCCGCUCCUUCCCGACCUGCGCCGCAGCCAUCGCAGACUUUAGGGGAGGGAGAGACGUUCUCUCCCACCGUUCCAGCGCCUCCAAGGCUGUCUAGUGUCCGUACAAGAAGAGGAAGAGAUACUGGGAGCACAUGCGCACAGAGGAAAGACCUUGCGAGGACACAGUGAGAAAGCGACCAUUGGCAAGAAAAAGAGAGGGGUCUCAGAAGAAACCAAACCUGCUGAGACCUUGAUCUUGGACCUCUAGCCUUCAAAACUGUGAGAAAGCUUUCUCCGUGUGAUGGGGAAGGUGCACAGUGACCCAUAAGCCCAUAUACUUCAGAUUCGGCACGCAUAAAUCAAAUUUCAGAGAAGAGCCAGUUAAUCCCCUCCAGUUCUGCCUCUGCUGCUAGCACCCAAUUGACACCUUCACCAAUGUCAUAUGAAGCGAGGUAAUAGUGCAUUACAACUGUUGACUUUUUUGCCUUAAUUUUAUUUAUUUUUUUUGACGUUCAUUAAAUGACCCUUUCCUCAAUUUCUUCAUGCUUCUGUAUAUUCCUGUUCCUUCUCCUCUGAGUGUCCUUUGCUGACACCUUAAACACUGAGGUUCUUCCACCUCAGUCCACUUCUG